AAUACAUUGUCUUAUUAAAUACAAUAAUCAGUCAAUAUAAAGCUUUUCACCCACCUGAACAUAGAAGUAAUAGUCAUCAUUAUAACAAUACAAAUUGUAAUCGCGUUUCAAAGUUUCAAAAAUUGUUAUUUUAUUUUUUGAAACUUGAAUAGGUUAGAAGUGUUUAUAAAAGUUUUUUUUACUUAGUUUUGAAAAUUGACAAAAGAUGCUUUGAUAACACUCUGUUGCCUUCUGUGGAAGUUAAUUCUUAUAGCACUUACUAUUCAAAUCCUUGCUAAGUUCAAGUUUUACUUAAGGAUGUACUUAGAUGAGGUUUUGGAAUUUGUGUCAAAUGUUCGGACUCUUUGGUGUUUUUCCAUACAAUUCAAUGUAAAAUAUUUUGCCUCAUAACACCCAUUUAUUUUUUCAUAUUAGACUUAAUAGCUCAUGAAAGGUCAUUUCCAAAUUUAGAAGAUUCUUGAUUUCUUUCUUUUGCUUGGAAACAAUAAUACCAAUGCAAAUAUAAGGUAAAAUCUGAGUCAGUCUUUCCGUUAUAUUAAAACCUCAAUAUCUUGAAAGAGUCAAUGACCCUCAUAUUUUUAGCUUAUCUUCAUCCUUAAUUGAUGUUCUACCAGCUUAUAGUAUCAAUUUUUAUUUCUUCAUUUCUUAAUUUUUACCUAACCUCACCUAAGUACAUCCUUAAGAUCUAUCUUCCUUGACAUUACAAAUAAGUGCUAAUGAUAACUUAACAUGAAGGUAUGUCCCUUAAGUGAUACUGUGUAAAAAGCAGUUGAACGCCAUAUAUGAUAAAUUAUAUUAAAUUCAUGUAAAAGCUUUACUAUAAUUACAUGUUAUGUGUAGGUCUGAAAACGAAUGCCUAUAGAAAACUUUGUAUGGAAGUUUUUAAGAAACAUUUAAGAUGUGUGGAAUUUUCUUGUAAGCAUUGAAAUUUGUUAUUGCUUAUCAAAUUUGAAAAUGCAAACUGAAGAAAACGUAAAAAAUCAAAAGUAUAAUCUUGAGUGACAGAUAAAUAAUUUUUCAGAGGUUUUGUCAUUUUGAAACAUUGAAAAUGUGAAAAGACUGUAAAUGCACUGCCAUUUUCACUAACUUAUUGUUUUGUAUGAAACCAUUUUAUUACAUAAGCAUUACCCUUGGAGGAAACAAAAACAUGCCUAUGAUUUGUUAUUUGAUAUCAUCAUUAAAAAUGUCCACAUCAUUUAAGUAAGAAUUCAAAUGAGAAAUAGAAAAUAAUGGAAAAAACUCAAAAUAAUGGUUUAAAAAAAUAAAGAAUAGAGACAAAUGGACCAAACUUAUGAUGAAAAGAGCAUACUUUGGUGCUAAAAUAUAUUAAAAGACAAAGGAUGAUUAGCAAAAUAAAUAAAACAUAAAGGAACAUGGCCAAAUUUUUGUUAAAAUACAAAAAUGAAACCCUUCUCCAUCUAGACCCUCGUAAUAAACACUUUAACAGUAAAAGAAAAAUGAAGACAUCACCAGAAUCACUGUAUUUAAUUCUAUCCUUCUUAGUCUAUGAUACUACUUUUUGGGUGAAGUAGUCAUUAUAAAUAGUACAUUUUGUACCACCAUUUAUAUGAGGCAUUUUAUUGUAUAAUUAAAUCUGGUGCAAUAUUCCUAUUUGAUAUGUGUAUUAUUCAUGUUUAUUGAUUUAGCAUACUUGUAAAAGGUCACAAACAACAUGAACAAUAUUGUUAUUGUUAUUGUACAGUUCAUCCUUGAUUUUAAUAAAGUGAUAGCAAUA
This 1735-nucleotide long non-coding RNA is filed under the name Mytilus galloprovincialis (Mediterranean mussel). Lineage: Eukaryota; Metazoa; Mollusca; Bivalvia; Mytilida; Mytilidae. The record is from RNAcentral.